RNAcentral lists this ribosomal RNA (447 nucleotides) under uncultured bacterium. RNAcentral's name for it is "bacterial SSU rRNA". It matches the Rfam family "Bacterial small subunit ribosomal RNA", at positions 330 to 793 of the family's 1533-position model. The record is from RNAcentral.
UCCAGACUCCUACGGGAGGCAGCAGUGGGGGAUAUUGCACAAUGGGGGGAACCCUGAUGCAGCGACGCCGCGUGGGUGAAGGAGCGUUUCGGCGCGUAAAGCCCUAUCGGCAGGGAAGAAGGAGGACGGUACCUGACUAAGAAGCCCCGGCUAACUACGUGCCAGCAGCCGCGGUAAUACGUAGGGGGCAAGCGUUAUCCGGAUUUACUGGGUGUAAAGGGGGCGCAGACGGCAGCGCAAGCCAGGAGUGAAAGCCCGGGGCCCAACCCCGGGACUGCUCUUGGAACUGCGCGGCUGGAGUGCAGGAGGGGCAGGCGGAAUUCCUGGUGUAGCGGUGAAAUGCGUAGAAAUCAGGAGGAACACCGGUGGCGAAGGCGGCCUGCUGGACUGCGACUGACGUUGAGGCCCGAAAGCGUGGGGAGCAAACAGGAUUAGAUACCCCUGUAC